CGAAGGAGAAGAUGGUCCCUCCCCAGGCCAGGCCGUAGCCCCAGUUGAACUCGUGGUAGAUCCUCAGGUUGAUGCUCUCGAUGAACUUGAUCGGGUAGAGGACCAAGCUGCAGGCCUGGAGGACAACUGGGGGAGACGAGCAGACGGUGUGUGCGUGUUUUAGCGCAUAAUGAACGCGUGGCCCUCGACCCAGGGCUGUGUGUGCGCUGACCUGCUGCGAAGAGCAUGAAGGCGACAGGUGUGUAGAAUCGGCGUCUCGUGCCGAUGCACACGGCAACCAGAGCGACCAGGAACGACAUCAGCACCAGGGCUCCACCCCCUAGCAACAGUGCCAGCGUAGCAACCUGCCAAUCUGGAAUGGAGGUGGUUAGGAGGGGGAUGAAAGGAGGAGAGGAAAUGAAGAGAGGAAAGUGAGAAAAGCUCCUCCAGUCAGCAUCCAAUCCUGCUCCUCAUUCAUCAUCGUGUUACAGCAGGACUCCAGGGGGGAUUCUGCCUUAGCAGAUAUCAGCAUCACAACCCUUUCCUUAUCCUAAUUCAGGAUGGAGUCCAAUCGCCAAAGACUUUGCACUAUUCAAAUAUAUGCAAUUGUAAUAAAUUAUUGU
This is a long non-coding RNA of Cyclopterus lumpus (lumpfish), 602 nucleotides long. RefSeq lists it as uncharacterized. NCBI's taxonomy places the organism in Eukaryota, Metazoa, Chordata, Actinopteri, Perciformes, Cyclopteridae. The record is from RefSeq and is a predicted model, not a curated record. The transcript is spliced from 3 exons.